UACGUAGGGCGCAAGCGUUAUCCGGAAUUAUUGGGCGUAAAGAGCUCGUAGGCGGUUUGUCGCGUCUGCCGUGAAGGUCCGGGGCUCAACUCCGGAUCUGCGGUGGGUACGGGCAGACUAGAGUGAUGUAGGGGAGACUGGAAUUCCUGGUGUAGCGGUGAAAUGCGCAGAUAUCAGGAGGAACACCGCUGGCGAAGGCAGGUCUCUGGGCAUUAACUGACGCUGAGGAGCGAAAGCAUGGGGAGCGAACAGG
Molecule: ribosomal RNA, 253 nt
Filed under: uncultured bacterium
Lineage: Bacteria
Description: partial 16S ribosomal RNA
Rfam family: Bacterial small subunit ribosomal RNA
Source: RNAcentral